Molecule: ribosomal RNA, 253 nt
Filed under: uncultured bacterium
Lineage: Bacteria
Description: partial 16S ribosomal RNA
Rfam family: Bacterial small subunit ribosomal RNA
Source: RNAcentral
UACGAAGGGGGCUAGCGUUGUUCGGAAUCACUGGGCGUAAAGCGCGCGCAGGCGGCUUUCCAAGUCAGGGGUGAAAUCCCGGGGCUUAACCCCGGAACUGCCUUUGAAACUGGUAAGCUGGAGGCUCGGAGAGGAUAGUGGAAUUCCAGGUGUAGAGGUGAAAUUCGUAGAUACCUGGAGGAACACCGAUGGCGAAGGCAGCUAUCUGGACGAGUUCUGACGCUGAGGAGCGAAAGCGUGGGGAUCAAACAGG